GCUGCGGUGAGGGAAAUUGUUUGGGCCGAGGCUUACUCUGAUGGGCCUGGCGCACGCAUUCGGGUAGAGGAAUCCACGAACAAGAGCUCAGCAAGAGAGAAUUUUUCCAUCGGGUCAACCAUUUCUAGAAGCGUCUCCAUCUUCACCCCCUCUCCGUCGCCUCGGUCCCCCCGGCAGCCACCGCCGCUCGUCCUCCAUCGCCGGCCACGACAACACUCAAUGCACUCAACACAGAUCACACAGGGUGGGGAGGCUCAAAGAUUUCUAAACGGCCAGAGAAUUAUCUCUCUUGGCUCCUUGCUUCGUCUGGUGACCUCCAACUGACCUCCCGGAUCGCUCCACCACCAGGCCGUAGCUCUGUCAGCACCGUUCUCCGGUCCACUGGGCGGAGUCUAUGUCAGUGGUUGAUCGUCUAAGCCCCAUAUGCAACAUUCAUGUGAGACUCACUUGAACAACUAUUGAAAUGGACCCAAUCUAAGCGAGUGCAAGCACCACCUUGUGGAAGCUAUGCUUUGGCUGAUGGCAUAAGACAUGAAAAUUCUUUAAUCUCCGCCUUCUUUGCGCUUUUGCACUUUGGAUUUAGGUUGUGCCCUAGACAUACUUUUAGUUAUGUUAAUGGGGGAUUAGUUCUUAAGGAGAUACGGAAAUACUCUCCCAAUUCGAUGCUUCCAAAGGUCAAAGUAGUUCAACCUGGGCAACUAGAAAAGAGUAACAACAAGGUCAGAAUGUUAUGGAGCAUUACCCCAUUGGUCAUUUUCAUCUCAACCUUUUAAAAUGUGGAGACAACUCCCUUGUUCAGGUGAUAAUACUCGAUAAAGGUGCUCCCGAGAUAGAUUAUUCCUCAGGAUCACUGCCUCGGAUGACCUCUUCCUCUGAUCCGUUUGUCCUUCGUGCAUUGGUAAAAUAAACACUAUAAUCUUCCUUUUCGUUCUUAGCCUCAUGAAGAGAGACUUCAGGCAUUUUUAUGUGAUUUUUGUUGUCAAGUUUACUGUUGGCGUGUCUAUAUGUGUGCCAUAAGUUCUUUGUAUGAUCAUCACCGGAAGUGCUCACCAUGAAGUGUUCAUAUUAACAAUCUGAAUCACAAAUCAACAUUCACUGCAAUGCGUGUUUGUCUGUUAGAUGGUUGAUACUUGUUUAGUUCUUCCCGUCAAAAGUCUUGCAAAGAUGAUUCCAUCUUCAUCUAUGUUACUUUGAGAUCGCUGUGUAGGUUGCUCUCUUUGGCAGUUUCUGGAUUAAUGUUUUAUAAAUUGUACAAUCUGUGCCACUGGGAGGUGAAAGAAAUCCUCAGUAUUAUCUCCCACACGCUUAAAAUUUAUUCUCAUGUUAUCUACAUUGGAUCAUCUGAUCAUUGAGAUUAAUAUGAUUUCUUUUGUGUUUGAUGAAUCCAAGUAACAAUCCAAGGGGAAUGUGAAUUUGGUGGCUAGGCAGGUUCCUCUGUGAAACGUUGGCCUCAGUUGUUCUGAAUGAGGGAAUAUGAUUGCUUGCAUUGUUAGCUUAAUAAGGAAGAGAGUGAUGCAGGCUACAUUUUGUAGUGUAAAAGACACAAGCAACAAUUGCUGAAUUUCUAUUCUGCAGGAAAUGGAAGCGAAUUAGCAUAACAAAUGUGCUUUUGAGCAAUGAUGUUGAUUUAUGGAUUAUCUUUGUGAACAUGUGGUAUCUUUAUUUCUCUUUUGAACGUUUGAUAUUUUCUCUGCUCUCUUUCUGGUAAACAGUACUGCAGACUUCUUGGUUGAUUAAUCCUUCUUUCUGCAAAUGACUUUGGCCCCUGUUAUGGUCUGCUUUCAGUAUACGAGUCACAUUGUAAUUUGUGUACCUGGUGAUGUGAUACGGUCUUGUUGAUUCAUUUCUCAAUAUGUUUCCCAAACGUUGCUUGUUGUAAAAAAUUUCAAAUAUUAAAUUCCAUCGACCUUAGUUUUU
This is a long non-coding RNA of Eucalyptus grandis, 1917 nucleotides long. RefSeq lists it as uncharacterized. The record is from RefSeq and is a predicted model, not a curated record. The transcript is spliced from 2 exons. NCBI's taxonomy places the organism in Eukaryota, Viridiplantae, Streptophyta, Magnoliopsida, Myrtales, Myrtaceae.